UGACGCUGGCGGCAUGCCUUACACAUGCAAGUCGAACGCGAAAGGGGGUAACCCCGAGUAGAGUGGCGAACGGGUGAGCAAUACAUCGGAACGCGUCCUGUAGCGGGGGACAACCUCGAGAAAUCGAGGCUAAUACCGCAUACGAUCCACGGAUGAAAGUGGGGGACCGCAAGGCCCCACACUAUAGGAGCGGCCGAUGCCGGAUUAGCUUGUUGGCGGGGUAACGGCCCACCAAGGCGACGAUCCGUAGCUGGUUUGAGAGAACGACCAGCCACACUGGGACUGAGACACGGCCCAGACUCCUACGGGAGGCAGCAGUGGGGAAUUUUGGACAAUGGGCGAAAGCCUGAUCCAGCCAUGCCGCGUGAGUGAAGAAGGCCUUCGGGUUGUAAAGCUCUUUCGGCGGGGACGAAAUGGCGCGGGGUAACAUCCCGCGUCGAUGACGGUACCCGAAGAAGAAGGACCGGCUAACUACGUGCCAGCAGCCGCGGUAAUACGUAGGGUCCAAGCGUUAAUCGGAAUUACUGGGCGUAAAGCGUGCGUAGGCGGUCUCGCAAGUCCGAUGUGAAAUCCCCGGGCUUAACCUGGGAACUGCGUUGGAAACUAUGAGGCUAGAGUGCGGCAGAGGGGGGUGGAAUUCCAGGUGUAGCAGUGAAAUGCGUAGAGAUCUGGAGGAACA
Molecule: ribosomal RNA, 679 nt
Filed under: uncultured soil bacterium
Lineage: Bacteria
Description: bacterial SSU rRNA
Rfam family: Bacterial small subunit ribosomal RNA
Source: RNAcentral